GACGAACCGUGCGAGCGUUGUUCGGAAUCACUGGGCUUAAAGGGCGCGUAGGCGGGCUGUCAAGUCUGGGGUGAAAUGCCGCGGCUCAACCGUGGAACUGCCUCAGAUACUGUCGGCCUCGAGGGAGGUAGGGGCGUGCGGAACUGUAGGUGGAGCGGUGAAAUGCGUUGAUAUCUGCAGGAACUCCGGUGGCGAAAGCGGCGCGCUGGACAUCUACUGACGCUGAGGCGCGAAAGCUAGGGGAGCAAACGGG
Molecule: ribosomal RNA, 253 nt
Filed under: uncultured bacterium
Lineage: Bacteria
Description: partial 16S ribosomal RNA
Rfam family: Bacterial small subunit ribosomal RNA
Source: RNAcentral